GACGAACGCUGGCGGCGUGCUUAACACAUGCAAGUCGAACGAAGAGCGAUGGAAGCUUGCUUCUAUCAAUCUUAGUGGCGAACGGGUGAGUAACGCGUAAUCAACCUGCCCUUCAGAGGGGGACAACAGUUGGAAACGACUGCUAAUACCGCAUACGAUCUAAUCUCGGCAUCGAGGAUAGAUGAAAGGUGGCCUCUACAUUUAACCUCUCACUGAAGGAGGGGAUUGCGUCUGAUUAGCUAGUUGGAGGGGUAACGGCCCACCAAGGCGAUGAUCAGUAGCCGGUCUGAGAGGAUGAACGGCCACAUUGGGACUGAGACACGGCCCAGACUCCUACGGGAGGCAGCAGUGGGGAAUCUUCCGCAAUGGACGAAAGUCUGACGGAGCAACGCCGCGUGAGUGAUGACGGCCUUCGGGUUGUAAAGCUCUGUUAAUCGGGACGAAAGGCCUUCUUGCGAAUAGUGAGAAGGAUUGACGGUACCGGAAUAGAAAGCCACGGCUAACUACGUG
This 510-nucleotide ribosomal RNA is filed under the name uncultured bacterium. RNAcentral's name for it is "partial 16S ribosomal RNA". It matches the Rfam family "Bacterial small subunit ribosomal RNA", at positions 28 to 507 of the family's 1533-position model. The record is from RNAcentral.